CCCUUAGAUGUUCUGGGCCGCACGCGCGCUACACUGAUGCAUUCAACGAGCCUAUCCUUGACCGACAGGUCCGGGUAAUCUUUGAAUCUGCAUCGUGACGGGGAUAGAUUAUUGCAAUUACUAAUCUUCAACGAGGAAUUCCCAGUAAGCGCGAGUCAUAAGCUCGCGUUGAUUACGUCCCUGCCCUUUGUACACACCGCCCGUCGCUACUACCGAUUGAACGGUUUAGUGAGGGCCUCGGAUUGGUCUCGGCCCGCUCUUUACCGGGCGGCGCCGUUGGUCGAGAAGACGCUCGAACUUGAUCGUUUAGAGGAAGUAAAAGUCGUAACA
RNAcentral lists this ribosomal RNA (330 nucleotides) under uncultured eukaryote. Its description in RNAcentral is "partial 18S ribosomal RNA". It matches the Rfam family "Eukaryotic small subunit ribosomal RNA", at positions 1470 to 1796 of the family's 1831-position model. The record is from RNAcentral.